This 1293-nucleotide long non-coding RNA is filed under the name Rosa chinensis. Its description in RNAcentral is "sRNA RchiOBHm_Chr6g0250381". The record is from RNAcentral. Lineage: Eukaryota; Viridiplantae; Streptophyta; Magnoliopsida; Rosales; Rosaceae.
UCUCUCUGGAACUCAACCCACUCUGAGCACAGCAACCUCCCAUUCACUUCCGUCACCCAAAUCCCAACUCUCUCUCUCUCUCUCUAUAUCUCUCAUCUCUCUCUGCGCGCCCAAUUUGUCAAGCUGGUUUUGUAUGCAAACUGAAGUACCUCUGGCAAAAUCAGCUCUGGUUAGAGUUUCGGGAUCAGGUUUUACUUCUUUGACCUAUGUUAUCUUAGAUUCCAUUGUGUUUACUAGGGAACUUCAAACAUGAUUAGUUCUUGUAUUCAGUAGCUUCCUGUUUAAUUGUCCCACUGAUUUUGCGUCGAAAUUUACUGCUUAAGGUUGUACAAUUCAUGUUUUGCUAUCCAGUUACACUCAGAAAAUUGGAUAAACUUUUAUGAAGAUAUUAGUGAUCUGAAAUGCUUUGGUAUUGGUUUUCUGUGUGAUUCCCUUCCACUUGACGGCAUGUUACUGUCAUGGAAAUUUUGGACUCAUGUAAUGACUAAUGAGAUCGACACUAUAAAAUGGAAUUAACUUCCAACCAUGAAUAAUCGAUCAAAGAGGAAAGUUUGGUUAGCUGGUCUUGGAAUGGUAGAUGUAUAAUUGAACUUUUAAGCUUUUUUCUUUUUCUGCUAUCUUUUACAGGGUUUGAUUUUGUUUGAUAAGAUCCCUGGAAGUUGUUUCAUCACCAUUGUUGGGUAAACUAUGUCUCGUUCGGUUGAAUUUGAAUAAAAAGUACUUUACGUAUUUGCUGAAAGUGUAAUAUAAAUGGCCAAGCACAAUCUUUUCAAUAAACCGGUGAUAAGUGAUUGUGUAUUGUUUUGAAUUCAUGAACGACCUACGGUUUUCUUUGGAAUGAUUGCCAUAAUGGCAUAAUGUGAAUGGAUAGCUUAACCAACCAACAUGACCAAAUUGGUUCGAGUUCAAGUAUGAAGACAGAAUUGAGCAAGUAUUUGGAUGAAGUAAGGCUAGAAAGAAAGUAAGAGUUGGAUGUACUUUCUUGGUGGAAAAUGGAGCAAAUUCGAUAUCCUAUUCUUUUUCAUCUAGCUCGUGAUGUGCUCACAAUUCCCAUUUCUACCGUUGCAUCUGAAUCGGCCUUUAGCAUUGGCGGGAGAGUUUUAGAUUAAUACCGCAGCUCACUGUUGCCUGACACAGUUCAAGCUCUGCUUUGUACUCGAGAUUGGAUUUUUGGUAACAAAGAAAAAGAGCGCGCUGAAUUGAAGGAUCUUACUGAAGACGUAUUUGAUUUGACAUUGCAAGAUAGAUCUGGAGAAGGAGAAAGCCGCAAUUAAGAUGACUUAGACGUAUUUU